CAAAAAAAAGCAUUUAAGAUGUGUCUCACUUACAUUGAGAAGAAAACCUUAUAGGUUUUUUUUGA
Molecule: transfer RNA, 65 nt
Filed under: Kulikovia alborostrata
Lineage: Eukaryota; Metazoa; Nemertea; Pilidiophora; Heteronemertea; Lineidae
Description: tRNA-Val
Source: RNAcentral